UAUCUGUAGGUGAACCUGCAGAUGGAUCAUUUCGAUGAAAAACCUUUUUUCAGAGGUGUGGCUCGCACCUGUCCAACUAAACUUGAGCUACCUUUUUCAACACGGUUGCAUCGGUCGGCCUGUCAAACAGCGCGACGCAAGGAGAAAAUCCUCGCGUCUGCUGGGCGACGGACAGACAAUUUUAUUGAACACUUUUUGAUGAUCUAGGAUUUGAAGGAGAAAAAGUCAUUUUUACGAAUGAAAUCGGCUGGUAAUGCGGUCGUCUAAUUUUAAAAACAACUUUUGGCAACGGAUCUCUUGGUUCUCCCAUCGAUGAAGAACGCAGCGAAUUGCGAUAAGUAAUGUGAAUUGCAGAAGUGAAUCAUCGAAUCUUUGAACGCACCUUGCGCUCCCGGCAGAUCUAAUCUGGGGAGCAUGCCUGUUUGAGGGCCGCGAAUUGUUUCGAACGACAGCUUUUUUCUUUUGGAAAAGGUUGACGGAUCGGUAUUGAGGGUUUUUGCCAUUUAUCGUGGCUCCCUUGAAAUAGAUUAGCGCAUCCAUUUUAUAGGCAAGACGGACGAAAGCUCGAUUUUUGCUCUCUCUUCCCUGCCGGGUUUUGAUACUAUCAGGACUUCGGAGAGGUUGAGAUGGGUAGGAGCUCGACGCAACGGCUUGCUGUUUGGAGUGCUUCUGAAACCCGCCCAUGCCGAGUUUUCUUUUAGAAAGCUAGGAAGGAAUUUAUAAUAAUUCAUCGGCCUCAGAUUGGUAGGACUACCCGCUGAACUUAA
This 767-nucleotide small RNA is filed under the name Ustilago nuda. RNAcentral describes it as "eukaryotic LSU rRNA". The stretch from base 278 to 432 matches the Rfam family "5.8S ribosomal RNA". Lineage: Eukaryota; Fungi; Basidiomycota; Ustilaginomycetes; Ustilaginales; Ustilaginaceae. The record is from RNAcentral.